UACGAAGGGGGCUAGCGUUGUUCGGAAUCACUGGGCGUAAAGCGCACGUAGGCGGAUCGCUAAGUCGGAGGUGAAAUCCCAGGGCUCAACCCUGGAACUGCCUUCGAUACUGGAGGUCUCGAGUCCGGGAGAGGUGAGUGGAACUGCGAGUGUAGAGGUGAAAUUCGUAGAUAUUCGCAAGAACACCAGUGGCGAAGGCGGCUCACUGGCCCGGUACUGACGCUGAGGUGCGAAAGCGUGGGGAGCAAACAGG
Molecule: ribosomal RNA, 253 nt
Filed under: uncultured bacterium
Lineage: Bacteria
Description: partial 16S ribosomal RNA
Rfam family: Bacterial small subunit ribosomal RNA
Source: RNAcentral